CAGUCGCCGCGGUAAUACGUAGGUGGCCAGCGUUGCCCGGAAUUAUUGGGCGUAAAGGGCUCGCAGGCGGUUUCUUAAGUCUGAUGUGAAAGCCCCCGGCUCAACCGGGGAGGGUCAUUGGAAACUGGGAAACUUGAGUGCAGAAGAGGAGAGUGGAAUUCCACGUGUAGCGGUGAAAUGCGUAGAGAUGUGGAGGAACACCAGUGGCGAAGGCGACUCUCUGGUCUGUAACUGACGCUGAGGAGCGAAAGCGUGGGGAGCGAACGGGAUUAGAUACCCCCGUAGUCCCUGUCUCUUAUAA
Molecule: ribosomal RNA, 301 nt
Filed under: uncultured bacterium
Lineage: Bacteria
Description: partial 16S ribosomal RNA
Rfam family: Bacterial small subunit ribosomal RNA
Source: RNAcentral